RNAcentral lists this ribosomal RNA (405 nucleotides) under uncultured bacterium. RNAcentral's name for it is "partial 16S ribosomal RNA". It matches the Rfam family "Bacterial small subunit ribosomal RNA", at positions 30 to 526 of the family's 1533-position model. The record is from RNAcentral.
AUUGAACGCUAGCGGCAUGCUUUACACAUGCAAGUCGAACGAGUGGCGGACGGGUGAGUAAUGUCUCGGAACGUGCCCAGUAGCGGGGGAUAACUACUGGAAAGAGUGGCUAAUACCGCAUACUAUUAGAUCUGCCCAUUUCGGAUUAGCUAGUUGGUGGGGUAAAGGCUCACCAAGGCAACGAUCCGUAGCUGGUUUGAGAGGAUGACCAGCCACACUGGAACUGAGACACGGCCCAGACUCCUACGGGAGGCAGCAGUGGGGAAUAUUGGACAAUGGGGGAAACCCUGAUGCAGCCAUCCCGCGUGUAUGAGAAGGCCUUCGGGUUGUAAAGUACUUUCAGCAGAGAGGCGGUAUCUGCAGAAUAAGCACCGGCUAACUACGUGCCAGCAGCCGCGGUAAUUC